GAACGGUGAAGCCCAGCUUGCUGGGUGGAUCAGUGGCGAACGGGUGAGUAACACGUGAGCAACCUGCCCUCCACUUCGGGAUAAGCCUUGGAAACGAGGUCUAAUACCGGAUAUGAGCACUUACCGCAUGGUGGGUGUUGGAAAGUUUUUCGGUGGGGGAUGGGCUCGCGGCCUAUCAGCUUGUUGGUGGGGUAAUGGCCUACCAAGGCGUCGACGGGUAGCCGGCCUGAGAGGGCGACCGGCCACACUGGGACUGAGACACGGCCCAGACUCCUACGGGAGGCAGCAGUGGGGAAUAUUGCACAAUGGGCGAAAGCCUGAUGCAGCGACGCCACGUGAGGGAUGACGGCCUUCGGGUUGUAAACCUCUUUCAGCAGGGAAGAAGCGCAAGUGACGGUACCUGCAGAAGAAGCGCCGGCUAACUACGUGCCAGCAGCCGCGGUAAUACGUAGGGCGCAAGCGUUGUCCGGAAUUAUUGGGCGUAAAGAGCUCGUAGGCGGUCUGUCGCGUCUGGUGUGAAAUCCCAUGGCUCAACCAUGGGCUUGCAUCGGGUACGGGCAGACUAGAGUGCUGUAGGGGAGACUGGAAUUCCUGGUGUAGCGGUGGAAUGCGCAGAUAUCAGGAGGAACACCGAUGGCGAAGGCAGGUCUCUGGGCAGUUACUGACGCUGAGGAGCGAAAGCAUGGGGAGCGAACAGGAUUAGAUACCCUGGUAGUCCAUGCCGUAAACGUUGGGCACUAGGUGUGGGG
This 749-nucleotide ribosomal RNA is filed under the name Promicromonospora sp. RNAcentral describes it as "bacterial SSU rRNA". It matches the Rfam family "Bacterial small subunit ribosomal RNA", at positions 64 to 827 of the family's 1533-position model. Lineage: Bacteria; Bacillati; Actinomycetota; Actinomycetes; Micrococcales; Promicromonosporaceae. The record is from RNAcentral.